RNAcentral lists this ribosomal RNA (254 nucleotides) under uncultured bacterium. Its description in RNAcentral is "partial 16S ribosomal RNA". It matches the Rfam family "Bacterial small subunit ribosomal RNA", at positions 524 to 776 of the family's 1533-position model. The record is from RNAcentral.
CACGUAGGGGGCAAGCGUUGUCCGGAUUUAUUGGGCGUAAAGAGCUCGUAGGCGGCUCGGUAAGUCGGGUGUGAAAACUCGGGGCUCAACCCCGAGACGCCACUCGAUACUGCCAUGGCUUGAGUCCGGUAGGGGAGUGUGGAAUUCCUGGUGUAGCGGUGAAAUGCGCAGAUAUCAGGAGGAACACCGAUGGCGAAGGCAGCACUCUGGGCCGGUACUGACGCUGAGACGCGAAAGCGUGGGGAGCGAACAGG